CGGACAGGGGGGUUCCUGCCAUCGGCGGGGCCUGUCCGAUCGGGCCGCGCGACUGCGCGGCCAGUGGUUGUCGCUCGGGGGUGAUCGCCG
RNAcentral lists this small RNA (90 nucleotides) under Streptomyces sp. CB01580. RNAcentral's name for it is "che1 RNA". It matches the Rfam family "che1 RNA". The record is from Rfam by way of RNAcentral. Lineage: Bacteria; Bacillati; Actinomycetota; Actinomycetes; Kitasatosporales; Streptomycetaceae.